AUUGAACGCUGGCGGCAGGCCUAACACAUGCAAGUCGAGCGGAUGAAGGGUGCUUGCUCUUGGCUUCAGUGGCGGACGGGUGAGUAAUGCCUAGGAAUAUGCCCGGUAGCGGGGGAUAACGUCUGGAAACGGGCGCUAAUACCGCAUACGUCCUGAGGGUGAAAGUGGGGGAUCGUCGGACUUUUCGCUAUCUGAUGAGCCUAGGUCUGAUCAGCUAGUUGGUGGGGUAAAGGCCUACCAAGGCGACGAUCCGUAACUGGUCUGAGAGGAUGAUCAGUCACACUGGAACUGAGACACGGUCCAGACUCCUACGGGAGGCAGCAGUGGGGAAUAUUGGACGAUGGGCGGAAGCCUGAUCCAGCCAUGCCGCGUGUGUGAAGAAGGUCUUCGGAUUGUAAAGCACUUUAAGUUGGGAAGAAGGACAGUAAGUGGAUACCUGGCUGUUUUGACGGUACCAACAGAAUAAGCACCGGCUAACUUCGUG
RNAcentral lists this ribosomal RNA (484 nucleotides) under uncultured bacterium. RNAcentral's name for it is "partial 16S ribosomal RNA". It matches the Rfam family "Bacterial small subunit ribosomal RNA", at positions 30 to 507 of the family's 1533-position model. The record is from RNAcentral.